GACGGAAGGUGCAAGCGUUGCUCGGAAUCACUGGGCGUAAAGGGUGCGUAGGCGGCUUGGUAGGUCUGGUGUGAAAGCCCCGGGCUCAGCCCGGGAAGGGCACUAGAAACUGCCAAGCUAGAGUGCCGGAGGGGAGAGUGGAAUUCCUGGUGUAGCGGUGAAAUGCGUAGAGAUCGGGAGGAACAUCAGUUGCGAAGGCGGCUCUCUGGACCAGCACUGACACUGAGGCACGAAAGCGUGGGGAGCAAACAGG
Molecule: ribosomal RNA, 253 nt
Filed under: uncultured bacterium
Lineage: Bacteria
Description: partial 16S ribosomal RNA
Rfam family: Bacterial small subunit ribosomal RNA
Source: RNAcentral